Molecule: ribosomal RNA, 427 nt
Filed under: uncultured bacterium
Lineage: Bacteria
Description: bacterial SSU rRNA
Rfam family: Bacterial small subunit ribosomal RNA
Source: RNAcentral
UGGGGAAUUUUGGACAAUGGGGGCAACCCUGAUCCAGCCAUGCCGCGUGUCUGAAGAAGGCCUUCGGGUUGUAAAGGACUUUUGUUUGGAAAGAAAACUUAUCUAAUAACACUAGGUAAGUAUGACGGUACCAAAAGAAUAAGCACCGGCUAACUACGUGCCAGCAGCCGCGGUAAUACGUAGGGUGCAAGCGUUAAUCGGAAUUACUGGGCGUAAAGGGAGUGCAGGCGGCUUAUUAAGCCAGAUGUGAAAGCCCCGGGCUUAACCUGGGAAUUGCGUUUGGAACUGGUAGGCUAGAGUGUGUCAGAGGGGGGUAGAAUUCCACGUGUAGCAGUGAAAUGCGUAGAGAUGUGGAGGAAUACCGAUGGCGAAGGCAGCCCCCUGGGAUAACACUGACGCUCAUACUCGAAAGCGUGGGGAGCAAACA